AGUGAACGCUGGCGGUAGGCCUAACACAUGCAAGUCGAACGGCAGCACAGUAAGAGUUUGCUCUUACGGGUGGCGAGUGGCGGACGGGUGAGGAAUACAUCGGAAUCUACUUUUUCGUGGGGGAUAACGUAGGGAAACUUACGCUAAUACCGCAUACGACCUACGGGUGAAAGCAGGGGAUCUUCGGACCUUGCGCGAUUGAAUGAGCCGAUGUCGGAUUAGCUAGUUGGCGGGGUAAAGGCCCACCAAGGCGACGAUCCGUAGCUGGUCUGAGAGGAUGAUCAGCCACACUGGAACUGAGGCACGGUCCAGACUCCUACGGGAGGCAGCAGUGGGGAAUAUUGGACAAUGGGCGCAAGCCUGAUCCAGCCAUACCGCGUGGGUGAAGAAGGCCUUCGGGUUGUAAAGCCCUUUUGUUGGGAAAGAAAAGCAGCAGGUUAAUACCCCGCUGUUCUGACGGUACCCAAAGAAUAAGCACCGGCUAACUUCGUG
RNAcentral lists this ribosomal RNA (492 nucleotides) under uncultured bacterium. RNAcentral describes it as "partial 16S ribosomal RNA". It matches the Rfam family "Bacterial small subunit ribosomal RNA", at positions 29 to 507 of the family's 1533-position model. The record is from RNAcentral.